GGAGCUGAAUUAGAGAUCGGCACCCUGUCAUUCUUAUAUCACUGGAGUUGAAAAUGUCUCUAAGCGUUGAAGCUAAAGCAAAAAUCGUUUCCGAGUUUGGUCGUGG
Molecule: non-coding RNA, 106 nt
Filed under: Kosakonia cowanii
Lineage: Bacteria; Pseudomonadati; Pseudomonadota; Gammaproteobacteria; Enterobacterales; Enterobacteriaceae
Description: Ribosomal S15 leader
Rfam family: Ribosomal S15 leader
About the family: The E. coli Ribosomal S15 gene 5' UTR can form two alternative structures. One that is a series of three hairpins, The other includes a pseudoknot.
Source: RNAcentral